This 1466-nucleotide ribosomal RNA is filed under the name Echidnophaga gallinacea (sticktight flea). Its description in RNAcentral is "SSU rRNA". It matches the Rfam family "Eukaryotic small subunit ribosomal RNA", at positions 417 to 1804 of the family's 1831-position model. Lineage: Eukaryota; Metazoa; Arthropoda; Insecta; Siphonaptera; Pulicidae. The record is from RNAcentral.
CAAGGAAGGCAGCAGGCGCGCAAAUUACCCACUCCCGGCACGGGGAGGUAGUGACGAAAAAUAACGAUACGGGACUCAUCCGAGGCCCCGUAAUCGGAAUGAGUACACUUUAAAUCCUUUAACGAGGAUCUAUUAGAGGGCCAGUCUGGUGCCAGCAGCCGCGGUAAUUCCAGCUCCAAUAGCGUAUAUUAAAGUUGUUGCGGUUAAAAAGCUCGUAGUUGAAUCUGUGUCCCGCACUGUCGGUUCACCGCUCGCGGUGUUCAACUGGCAUGUCUGUGGGACGUCCUGCCGGUGGGUUUAGCCCGUCAAAAGGCGACCCAACUAAAAUCCUACCACGGUGCUCUUUACCGAGUGUCGAGGUGGGCCGGCACGUUUACUUUGAACAAAUUAGAGUGCUUAAAGCAGGCUCAUUCGCCUGAAUAUUGUGUGCAUGGAAUAAUGGAAUAGGACCUCGGUUCUAUUUUGUUGGUUUUCGGAAUGCCGAGGUAAUGAUUAAUAGGGACAACUGGGGGCAUUCGUAUUGCGACGUUAGAGGUGAAAUUCUUGGAUCGUCGCAAGACGAACAGAAGCGAAAGCAUUUGCCAAAUGUGUUUUCAUCAAUCAAGAACGAAAGUUAGAGGUUCGAAGGCGAUCAGAUACCGCCCUAGUUCUAACCAUAAACGAUGCCAGCUAGCGAUCCGCCGAAGUUCCUCCGAUGACUCGGCGGGCAGCUUCCGGGAAACCAAAGCAUUUGGGUUCCGGGGGAAGUAUGGUUGCAAAGCUGAAACUUAAAGGAAUUGACGGAAGGGCACCACCAGGAGUGGAGCCUGCGGCUUAAUUUGACUCAACACGGGAAACCUCACCAGGCCCAGACACCGGAAGGAUUGACAGAUUGAGAGCUCUUUCUUGAUUCGGUGGGUGGUGGUGCAUGGCCGUUCUUAGUUGGUGGAGCGAUCUGUCUGGUUAAUUCUGAUAACGAGCGAGACUCUAGCCUGCUAAAUAGGCGUACUUUCCGGUAUCUCGAAGGCCCGCCGGCUCGGCUUCGGUCGUUGUCGUGUGUGGUUUUUACUACCGGCGUACACAUAAAUCUUCUUAGAGGGAUAGGUUGCGCUUAGUCGCACGAAAUUGAGCAAUAACAGGUCUGUGAUGCCCUUAGAUGUUCUGGGCCGCACGCGCGCUACACUGAAGGGAUCAGCAGGUUUUCCUUGGCCGAAAGGUCCGGGUAAUCCGUUGAAGCCCCUUCGUGCUAGGGAUUGGGGCUUGCAAUUCUUCCCCAUGAACGAGGAAUUCCCAGUAAGCGCGAGUCAUAAGCUUGCGUUGAUUACGUCCCUGCCCUUUGUACACACCGCCCGUCGCUACUACCGAUUGAAUUAUUUAGUGAGGUCUUCGGACCGGUGCGCGGCAGCGUCGUAAGGCAUUGCCGAUGUUGCUGGGAAGAUGACCAAACUUGAUUAUUUAGAGGAAGUAAAAGUCGUAACAAGGUUUUC